RNAcentral lists this ribosomal RNA (253 nucleotides) under uncultured bacterium. RNAcentral describes it as "partial 16S ribosomal RNA". It matches the Rfam family "Bacterial small subunit ribosomal RNA", at positions 524 to 776 of the family's 1533-position model. The record is from RNAcentral.
UACGUAGGGGGCAAGCGUUAUCCGGAUUUACUGGGUGUAAAGGGAGCGUAGACGGCGAUGCAAGCCAGAUGUGAAAGCCCGGGGCUCAACCCCGGGACUGCAUUUGGAACUGUAUAGCUAGAGUGUCGGAGAGGCAGGCGGAAUUCCAAGUGUAGCGGUGAAAUGCGUAGAUAUUAGGAGGAACACCAGUGGCGAAGGCGGCCUGCUGGACGAUGACUGACGUUGAGGCUCGAAAGCGUGGGGAGCAAACAGG